UACGUAGGGGGCAAGCGUUGUCCGGAUUUAUUGGGCGUAAAGAGCGUGUAGGCGGCCAGGUAGGUCGGUUGUGAAAACUGGAGGCUCAACCUUCAGACGUCGACCGAAACCAUCUGGCUAGAGUCCGGAAGAGGAGAGUGGAAUUCCUGGUGUAGCGGUGGAAUGCGUAGAUAUCGUAAGGAAGACCAGUGGCGAAGGCGGGUCUCUGGACAGUUCCUGACGCUGAGGCACGAAGGCCAGGGGAGCAAACGGG
RNAcentral lists this ribosomal RNA (253 nucleotides) under uncultured bacterium. RNAcentral's name for it is "partial 16S ribosomal RNA". It matches the Rfam family "Bacterial small subunit ribosomal RNA", at positions 524 to 776 of the family's 1533-position model. The record is from RNAcentral.